UACAGAGGUCUCAAGCGUUGUUCGGAAUUACUGGGCGUAAAGCGCACGUAGGCGGCUUUGCAAGUUAGAGGUGAAAGCCCGGGGCUCAACUCCGGAAUUGCCUUUAAAACUGCAUCGCUAGAAUUGUGGAGAGGUAAGUGGAAUUCCGAGUGUAGAGGUGAAAUUCGUAGAUAUUCGGAAGAACACCAGUGGCGAAGGCGACUUACUGGACACAUAUUGACGCUGAGGUGCGAAAGCGUGGGGAGCAAACAGG
Molecule: ribosomal RNA, 253 nt
Filed under: uncultured bacterium
Lineage: Bacteria
Description: partial 16S ribosomal RNA
Rfam family: Bacterial small subunit ribosomal RNA
Source: RNAcentral